This 253-nucleotide ribosomal RNA is filed under the name uncultured bacterium. RNAcentral's name for it is "partial 16S ribosomal RNA". It matches the Rfam family "Bacterial small subunit ribosomal RNA", at positions 524 to 776 of the family's 1533-position model. The record is from RNAcentral.
UACAGAGGUCUCAAGCGUUGUUCGGAAUUACUGGGCGUAAAGGGCUCGUAGGUGGCCAACUAAGUCAGACGUGAAAUCCCUCAGCUUAACUGGGGAACUGCGUCUGAUACUGGAUGGCUUGAGUUUGGGAGAGGGAUGCGGAAUUCCAGGUGUAGCGGUGAAAUGCGUAGAUAUCUGGAGGAACACCGGUGGCGAAGGCGGCAUCCUGGACCGGCAUUGACGCUGAGGCGCGAAAGCCAGGGGAGCAAACGGG